UGCGCAGGCGGGGAUGUAAGUCAGUGGUGAAAAGCUGCCGCUUAACGGUAGUCUUGCCAAUGAUACUGCAUUUCUUGAGUAUGGUUAAGGUAGGCGGAAUGUGCAGUGUAGCGGUGAAAUGCAUAGAGAUUGCACAGAAGGCCGAUUGCGGAGGCAGCUUACUGAGCCAUAACUGACGCUGAGGCACGAAAGCGUGGGGAUCGAACAG
Molecule: ribosomal RNA, 208 nt
Filed under: uncultured Prolixibacteraceae bacterium
Lineage: Bacteria; Pseudomonadati; Bacteroidota; Bacteroidia; Marinilabiliales; Prolixibacteraceae
Description: partial 16S ribosomal RNA
Rfam family: Bacterial small subunit ribosomal RNA
Source: RNAcentral